AGUUUGUGUUCAUGUGUUGUGUUUGUAAGAAACUUCGCCUCGAAAUUUCAGGUAGGAAAAUAUACAGGUCAUUGACGCGACAAGAGGUAUAGAGGAAGUAAUAUAGAGGGUGACAGACGGGCCGUUAACAGGGCCGUUACAGCUUCAAGUGAUAUAUGAGCUGCGAAGUGGCUUGGUGCCUGUCACUUCAGUUCCGCUACCGCACCGCGCCUGCAAAAAGAUAAAAAGGAUUCCGAAAUUCGUUUCACAAGUGGGCUGGCGGAAAUGGAUAGGAAUUUACCGGGUACGGCUUUUUAUGUCGGUCAAUAGAUCCAACGUUUCGCUAUCCAAUCUCAACUCUAUAUCGAGUAAUGUCCCUCGCUUAAUUUCUGCUAUCUUAACUCAUCAAGCGAAGUAAAUGAAAUAGGUACGGUUCUAUGGUUGUCGGAAAUGAUGAUAAUAUGUUUAGUUUGAUAAUAAUGUGAACUGUCGAUUCCUGAAAUACUAGGUAGUACAAAAGUUUUUUUUUUCUGAUAAUAAAAUGAAAAUAAAAGGCUAAGGAAAUGUUUUAGCUCGGAAAAGGAAAAAG
Molecule: unclassified non-coding RNA, 568 nt
Filed under: Melitaea cinxia (Glanville fritillary)
Lineage: Eukaryota; Metazoa; Arthropoda; Insecta; Lepidoptera; Nymphalidae
Description: misc RNA ENSMCXG00005003106.1
Source: RNAcentral